AAUAGGUUGGUGCCAAACGUCAUUUGUCAGUUAGUCUCUGUGUCGUGUCUUGAUAUAUGGAAAAGAACAUUCUUUGGAUGGCAGCUAGUUUUGUCAACGUGGUCUUUUGUUUCCUUUUAGGUUUAACACUUUGAACUGUAAUAUGGGAUGUGCUAUUUAUUUAUAGCCUAGCUAUUAUUUGUAAUUUUUUCCAACAUGACGUGGGUCAGUUCAAAUGGAACACGUCCUUUUUGAUAAAAACAAAAUUUCUCUGCACUCUUACCCAUUUGGUUUUCGAAACGAUUUCCACAUCAGCCUUUUGUUAUGUUACUACAUCACUAUACUAGCUUUCAUCAAAAUUUGGACAAUUUUAUAUGUUCUUGUACAGCCCUUUUAAAGAGGGCCAAUUGAUCUUCACUUGAGCUUACGCUGCUUUCUACUACUCGACUCCCCGGGCUGCACAUUGCACCUGUGCUGUGUAGUUCCUCUCCAUGAGGCGCUCUUCCUGCUCGCGUGGAUCGUAGUUGAGGGCGCCGACGUCGAUGCUCCGGUGGCGGCGCUCCUCGAACUGCUUGCUCGCCGCCGGCUCCGGCUUCAGGUUGGAGAGGUUCUCCAUGGCAGCCAUCCUUAUGCCGUCUUUGGAAUUCGCCGUGUUGCGGUUGCGGUGCUUCGUUUCCAACGUGUAAUGGAGCUUGUACUCCUGGCUCUUGUAGAGCACGUCCAACCGCCAAUUUCCUUGUAGUUCUCUUGUAGAACGUGUAAUGGUGCUUCGGUAUGUCGUUGGGAAUUUCCUUGCCGAUGGCCACCGCCAUCUUCAUCCAUCCACGGAAUUUCACAAACUGGAUCAGCAUUGCCAUCAAGUUUGGAUCAAUUUCGCAAGAAACAUGAAAACAUAUCUAAUCUCUCGAGAGAACAUUCUUCUGUAAUCUCUUUCUCGAUAAUCUCUCACUCGUUAUUUUUUUAACAUUCUUCUAUGUAUCGGUUUGAUACCUCUCUCGCUAAGCGCUCGGAAUUACCCGCAUGUGUGCCGGUGCAUGCGCAUGUGCGCCCGGCCAUAACCCCGGCUGGCAAGAGGUGAAAAAUUAGCUACGUUCCUAUAAUUUCCUCUCUUUUUAUCCUUGUUGUUAUUAGGCCGGUUUCUUGCAUGUUCUGCUACAUCCUUAUAGACUUGUUUUUUUAGUAAUUUCCUUGCUCCUCUAAUUUGGAUGGGAUUAUUAUUUUGUUUGCGCUCUCAGUCUAGCAGUAUGCUACCCGCAUGUUAAAAGAAUUAUUAAUCGGUUUUGCUAUAAUUGUGGUAACACAUUUUUUAUGGAAUCAGAGUCAAAUUUUAGACAGUUAGAUUUAUGUAAGAUUUGUGCAUGCGUACGAGGGCCACUGACUUGGUUUUUUGGCGUCAUUAAACAAUGCAGUCAGUAGAAGAAGCAGAAGAAGCAGUUGUAUUCUAUCAAACAAAAUAACGAUAAUCUGUCUGGAUAAUUAAUUAAGGUUUGAUUUAAUAUUUUUUUCAUCUCGAUUUGUCCUCACACUUUUGCAUGAAGAGAAGCAAAUCCAAACCUGAGUCAUUAAAUAUGUGCUUUGCUUUCUCCUUACCCGAGCUAAUGUUGCUCAUCUUCCGGCACAUUACCUAGUAGUAGCAAACAUUGUCCAAGGCUACACAUCAGUGGAAGAAUGAAAAUAGAGAACAAAAGAGAAUGAAAAGUAGAGAAGUUACGAUGUGCAUAUAAUGUUCAACACUAUAAUUAUAUAAUUAUAUUGUACUUACAACACACUUAUAUGAUAUAAUUACACUAUACUUACACUACAUUUACAUUGUACACUACAUUUACAUUGUACUUACACUACACUUACACACUUAAAUAGUACUUACGUUGGACUUACAUAAUAAUUAUGUUGUACUUACAUUUUAAUUAUUAUGUAAUUCCUAUAUUAAGCAUACUGUAAUAGUGUCAAUCGGUUAAUUAAUUAGCUUGCUAGCUUCAGGGGUGCAAAUAUUAUUUGUUUUUUCACGGUUUCCACAAAUUCCCGAUGCUGUUCUUGUUCCUUUUUCUUUGGCUAAAAUUUAAGUUCCAAAAAAAGCUGUGUUUAUGCUAAUUUUGAUCGGAAGUCAAAAAAGGUCAUCUUUUUUACCAAGGGACUACUAGAUGGAUAUCCCAAUAACUUCCACAGGCUCUACGGUUUGAGAUAAUUAAAUAUGCAACUUCUUCCCAAGGGCUGCUCUACUAUUUGGAAAUAAUUUAACAUGAACUUCCCAAGGACGCUACGGUUUUAAGAUAAUUCAUUAAAUUGAUAACUGCAUUGCAUUCUAUAGUUUGAUAUGCGUACAUGUAAUGCGUACAUGUAAUCCUCAAGAUAUCUCUACGUAUAACUAAUCUCGCAUAUCAUGCCCAUUCACAAUUAGAUCUCAUCUCAACUCACAAUAAUAAUCGACUAUGCUAAAAUUCCAUCGACAAUUUUUUUCAUUAAGAUUUGUCGAAUUUUCAGCCGUUAAUCUAACCAUGAGAUUCGUGCCCUCUUUGUGUCGGCACUCCCAUGAAACGUAACUCGUGAGCACUUGACCACCUGGUGGUACUGUACAUCCAUGCACACGGCUGAUUAUCUUUGUCGCUCACUAAUUAAAUAGUUUAAAGUUGUUGUUAAUCAUCUAGUGUACGGUUUCCUGUCAAAUUCAUGUUACCCAAAAGCGUAGAGAGGAUUAAAGCAUGGUAAUGAUAUGAGAGAGAGAGAGAGGAGGUAAGUUGAGGAAAAAAAUUACAGUGUAAAUAUAGUACUUUUAGAGUGUAAUUUGUUGUAAUUACAUUGUGACUCGUUGUAAAUUACAAUGUAAUUCUAUUAGACUUGUAUGUAAUUUAUUUUUUUUCUAUUUUUCACUAAGUGUAAGUUACACUUUAUUUUUAACUAUAAGGUUAUAUUUAAUAAUGAAUUCUGUGUUAUGAUACGUAUGAUUAUAUAAGUAUUAAAAAUCUGAGUGAUUUUAUGUCGGGUGAUCUAGAUACUACAUUAAUAUAACAUGUGCACAAACAAAUACGAAGAUUAUGGUGGCGGAUAAGAGCCCUAUCGACAAGGCUGUCCUCCAUGGCAAACACGAGCAAGAUGAUCUACGGGACGAUAAGGUGGUUUACGACGUGGAGUAGAAGCAACUCCUCCUUCCCACAUGUCGGCGGUGCCGUACGCGCUAUCGCAGGGCGGGUGGCUCAGCCUGGUGCUCUUCACCAUGGUCGGUGCCAACUGCUUCUACACCGGCAAACUCAUCGACCACUGCAUGCGCGCCAAUCGCUGAAUAUGGAGCUACCUAGACAUUGGCCACCGCCUUCGGCGGCUAUGGCCGGAUGGCUAUCAGCCUCGUCAUGUACGUCGAGCUCUACUUUGUCGCCAUCAGCUUCCUCAUUCUCGAGGGCGACAACUUGACAAGCUUCUCCCCAGCACGGUGGUGGAGAUUCUAUGGUACAGCUGCACGGGAAGCAGCUGUUCGUGCUCACGGUGGCCAUUGUCAUCCUCUCGACGACGUGGCUCAAGAACCUCGCUGGUUUGGGCCGGCGUGGCCGACAAGUGCUUCCACAUGGCGGGAAGCAACCUCUAGAAUCUGAGCAGGUUGCCCACCACCUGCCCACCACCCUCAGCCUCUACUUCUUCAUCUAUUUCAUCGGCCAUGGCGUCUUCCCGACCGUGCACUCCUUGAUGAAGUCUAAGAAGGAUUUUCCUAAGGUACACUUUUUAAAAUGUAUUUAUAUGUUUUACUUGAUAGUAAGUUUGCUAAAUUUUGUGAUAACAAUCAACAAUGUAAAUUUAGAAUUAUGGUUAAUGAAAAUUGAAAAGUCAAUGGUGGAAUUAAAUUAGCAACAGGUUUAGUAAGAAUACAAACAAAUUGUUUUUUAUUACAUGUAUGCAUGGAAGACACGCACACUCAUAAAUAUUUUUGAGAACUCGUACAUCACUAAUCAUGCACACCUCUUAAUCAUCAUCGCUGCUACGUUCUCAUCAUACUCACCAUUGCAGGUCUAUAUAUACAUCAUGUAGAUAAAAUUUAAGCUAAUAAGUUUAUUUGAUCGUCCAAUAAGAAUUAGGAUCAGACGAAAUGAACACUAAAAUCAUUUAUUAAAAUAAGUUGUACUAUCCUAAAAAAAGAUGUAAUGUUAAUUUACAGUGAUACGGAAUGGCGAGUGCAUUACUGGCAAGUGCAAUAUUCACAAUUUAGCAUUAAUAUAUAUUUUUGCAUAAUGAUGUAAAUUUAGCGUAAUGUCAGAUUGGCCUUUAGACUAAUUUGACGUGUGCGGUGACAUGGAGGCGUACUGUGCUAUAUUAUAGCCUAUCACCCCAGUGGAAUAAACUGGUGAAUGGAGGCAAUUAGGGUCGCCUCUCAACUAUAUUUGGUUACCUCUCAUCCACCCAUGUAAAAGCAAUGUAGCUUAAAGAUAAAGCUAAUCAUGAGCCGUCUAAUAUGGUUUAAUUUAUUUGCUAAAACUUGAACUUAGAAUAUGCGUCUAGCACUUCAAAUGAAAUAAUUGUAUUAGCCAUUUGAAUACAUAGUUUACGAAAUUUUGUUUUUAAGUAAUUUAAUGCGUAGUCCAAAACAAUUUUAGGUAAAUUAAAAGGUAGCAUAUCUAAAGUUGGAAGAUGUGUUGCAUCAUAAACUUUUCAAUGCCAAGUUAAAAUAGAUAUCUAUUAUGUCGUAUAUAUUCUUGUACUAAGUUUAGACUCAACCAACAGCUAUGAGAAUUGUUAGGGAUAAGAUGCAAAAGUUGUAGGGCACUGACUAUUGCUCAAUUAACUCAUGGAAGUUUCUUAAACAAUCUUGGACCUUUUACCAUUCUUUUACUGAUACUUAUCCAUGAUCUAACGGCAUAUAUUGUAUCAACCGUUGCAUUCAAUGGUCCAUAUCUUCAGAUGAUGUAGCUCAAUGAUGUUGCAUUUUAAGUUUUACCUUUCACUUGGAGAGAUUUGGCAAACAAUGAUAAUUGAUCAUUGGAUUAUCAAUUCCAAUUAUCGUAAUUUGGUUUAUGAAACCACGAUGAUGAUGAUAAUGGAUCAGUACUCCAAUAAUGUUCUAUUCCUCUCCAAUUAAUAUGCAGGUUUUGCUGAUCUCUUCGGUGCUGUGCAGUCUCAAUUACGCAGUGACAACAUUAUUGAGAUAUCUGAUCUAUGGUGAGGAUGUGCAGGCGCAGGUGACGCUGAACUUACCCUCGGGGAAGCUAUACACCAGGAUCACCAUCCUGACGACACUGAUCUCCCUGCUAGAGAAGUACGGACUCGAGAUCCAGCUCAUUGCAACGGUGAUAAAGGAGAAGCUGUCGUUGACGACGGCAGCGGCGACGGACGCCGAGAACAACAGGCAGACCAGGGUGCUCACCAGCACAGCCGUCGUUGUCAGCACGGUGGUGCUGGCGUGCACGGUACCCUUCUUCAGCUACCUCAUGUCGUUCAACGGAUCUUCGCUGAACGUCACCAUUGCCGUGUUGUUCCCAUGCCUGAGCUACCUCAAGAUCUACAUGCCCUGAGGAGGAGUUGGCCACUUCGAGGUGGCGGCGAUCGUCGGGAUACUGGUCAUCGGAGUGUGCGUCGUCGUCGUUGGCACCUACACCUCCCUUCACCAGAUUAUAGGCACAUUUUUGUAACAUCCCGGCCUAGGGCUUAAUAGGAUUAAUAGAAUACUCAUAUCAACAAGUUGCAACUUCUUUUCCGGAAGCCGAUCUCCAAAGAACUCCAGGGUUAAGCAUGCUUGGCCUGGAGCAAUUUGGGAUGGGUGACCGAUCGGGAAAUUCUUUCCGGGUGCACACGAGUGAGGACAAAGUGUGCAGAAAAGACAUGUGUUGGUCCGUGAGGGCAGUCUAUGACUUAUGAAAGCUGCCAGAUGUAAGUGGGCUCGACCUGGGAGAGGCAGGUCGUUACAAAAUGGUAUCAGAGCCGACUCUCGCGGUUUCACGGGCGCGUGUGUCGCAGUUGCGCAGGCAUGGUGCGCAUGGCUGGUGUAGACCUGGAGUGGUCACACAGCAUGGCACAUGCGCUAGCACUGGACACACGGACGUGGCCAAGAGAGGACGUUCCUGGCCUGGGGUUGAUCGACGGGGGCGUCGAUCUCUCUUAAGGGGGUGAGGGUGUAACAUCCCGGCCUAGGGCUUAAUAGGAUUAAUAGAAUACUCAUAUCAACAAGUUGCAACUUCUUUUCCGGAAGCCGUUCUCUAAAUAACUUCAGGGUUAAGCGUGCUUGGCCUGGAGCAAUUUGGGAUGGGUGACUGACCGGGAAAUUCGGAUUUCCCGGGUGCACACAAGUGAGGACAAAGUGUGCAGAAAAGACAUGUGCCCCCUCUCUAUGACCUAUGAAAGCUGCCAGAUGUAAGUGGCCUUGGCCUGGGAGAGGGUGCAGAAAAGACAUGUGCCCCCUCUCUAUGACCUAUGAAAGCUGCCAGAUGUAAGUGGCCUUGGCCUGGGAGAGGCAGGUCGUUACAAUUUUAGUAAUUAAAUAAGUUUCAAAUUCUUUUUUUACUUUGUCCUAAAAAAACAACAGAUAUGUUAUACAGAGUGUUAAGAAUCAACUGAGCGGCUAUAUAUUACAUGUGUACUCUCCUGGAAUGCCUACGUGUAUUAUCACUAAGGAAGUUUGUCACGCCCAGAAAUUCACAAGUAAUUUCCGAACUAAUUUGUACAUUAAGACCCUUGUUCAGGAAUCAGCCGAGGUACACAAACUGACAAUUUAAUAUACAGAUUCAUCAGAAUAACUAAAACAAUAAAUACUUACAUAAGAGGCACUUAGUCCUCACCAUGAAGAAAACUGCAGCGAAAAAUAAAAUCUAGCGAAGCUUAUGCUCCACUCCCACAGUCAGCUCAACUGGGAUCUAAGCCAAAGGUCUUCUCCUUCUGGAUCCUUUUUCUUCAACUGAGGUUCGAUGAUUAUUGCAAGAAUGAGCAUAUGACAUACUCAACAAGCCACACAGUAAAUAUGCAAGUGCACAAGGAUACCAAAGGAUGGCAUAAUAUAGGCUCAUUUGCAAAAGCAGCAUUUAGCAAAGAUACUCAACAAGCCACACAGUAAAUAUGCAAGUGCACAAGGAUACCAAAGGAUGGCAUAAUAUAGGCUCAUUUGCAAAAGCAGCAUUUAGCAAAGAUACUCAACAAGCCACACAGUAAAUAUGCAAGUGCACAAGGAUACCAAAGGAUGGCAUAAUAUAGGCUCAUUUGCAAAAGCAGCAUUUAGCAAAGAUUUAAGAGUAGUAAAACAGUAGAGUAAUUAAUCAUCAAUAUUAAUCAACACUGAACAGCACACCAAUGCUGCUCAGGCCCAAUCAAACCUGAACAACCAAUCCCGGUCGUACAGAUCAAACCUCCAAACCAGGAAUUAACCAUUCCAAACCAGGAGUCAAAUUAAUUAUCACAUUGUUAUCAUUAAUCAGUAGUGUGGGACUAAUCAUGAAAAACAUUGCUCAACUCGCCCAUAACCGCAGGCAUGGCUAUUCGAAUAGUUUUACUCUGGCCAGAGGUGUACCACUGUACCUACAAGACACGAUUCCACACAUGUUGCCAUGCCCCGAAGUACCACUACGGCACUGCAAAGGGGGAAAUCGUGACAAUACCCUUCGCACAACACAACUCACCACAGUGCACCAUUCCUGGAUCAUAAUCACCCCCUCUAUAAAUAUAACCAGAGGCAUGGACUCCCCAGCGACCCCCACGGACUUCUUGCCGCUUCUCAGUCUGGUGCCCCGUAAUGAAUCAUGCUAUACAAAAGGUAAAGCCGUUGCCCACGCUAGCUUGUGGUUGGCACGGUUAAUGUCUCACAACAGUAGCUCGCGAACCGGUCCUUAAUUGCCAUGAGCACGACCUUCAAAACCAUGUGCUCACAACCCACCAUUAACCAGGUUUUAAUUAUUAAUUAAUUAACAUAACAUGAUUAACCAUCGUGAUCUACCAUUAAAUAUAACCAUAAUUAAUAAUAAUAAUAUAAUAUAAUUUAUAUUUAAUCCUCUUUAAUUAGCUAAUGUUUCUAAGCAUGACUAAGCAAACAUACAUAUGGCAUUUAGCUGAACCAAUCCAAUAUAUAAGGUUCAUGCUAAUCAAAUUAUAACCCAUAGGAAAAUAAAGUCAUCUUCAGCCGUUAAUUAAUUGGGAAAGACUCACCACCCGAUGGCAUUCGAAAAUAAUUCAUAAGUUGAAAUAAAACAUUAACUUUAAACGGGUUCAACAUGCUCAAAGUGUUGUUUGGGAUUUGUGUGACUUGCCUUGCAAACAAGCGUCUUCAAUUCAUCUUCAGGAACUUCUCCAACGAACGAAUGAUCCUCCGAAACAACGGAAAACUAAACCUAGAAUGCAAAACGAGAAAAACACUAAUAAAAACCAAAUAAAUAGUACAAUUAAAGUUCAUAAAUAGAUAGAGCUUGAAUUUAGAUGAAUUAUGAGACUUGAACGACCUCCUUCCGAGUUCGUAUGAAUUAGAUAUGAAUUUUACAAGAUUUAAUUCCAAUUAAACCUAUUAAAGAAAAGACUAUUCCAAAUUGAUUAAACAAUUUACAAAUGAUUUAUAGCUGAGACAAAAGAUUAAAACAUCCUCCGGAAAAGAUUAGAUCAUAUUUGGUAGAUGACAUUUAUUAAAAAGGAAUAAUAUGUCAUUGAAAAGAGAUGACAAAUUUAUAUUAAUUUUGGAUGGCCAAGAUGGCGCGGUUGUCAGCGAUGACAUGGCUGCCACGCAGGAUCGACACUGGCGAGCCCGGGAACGGCGGUUACCAGCGAACCACGGUACAAUGACGCAAACGGAGGGCACCGGAAGAGAGGAGAUCAAGGCAACCCUUACCACCACUUACGCAACGACAAACGGCGAGGGAGAUGGCCGGCGACGAGCUCCAAAGGGCGGCAACCUUGGGUUGACAAUGGCGACGGCUUUCCGGCGAUGGGCGGCGGCAACGGAGGGGUGGACGAGCUUCUCCUCACAGCUACGAAUCCAAUGGAAGCAACGGCGACCGAAGGCGACGAUAGACGACGACGAACAGCGCGGCCGGAGAUAGAUUAGAUCGGCUUCACGGUGACGACCACUUCCAGCGGGGGUUUGGCGCAAAGGAACGGGUGGCCGGGGUAGCUCUCACCCUUGCGAAGCCGAGGGAGGUGACGGGGCUGACCGGCGACGGGCGGGGCGACGGCGCACGACGGCUGGAGAGGCGACCGGAGGUGGAGAGAGAGGGAGCUCGCGGGGAGGCGGCUAGGGUUAGGGAAAAAAUUCGGGAAAGAGGGGGAAACGGAAGAGGAGGUCGAGGGGCUGCUAUUUAUAGGAUUCGUGCGAAGAGAUUGGAUCAAAAACAACGGGAUUUGGCGAGAGAAAAACGAGGGUUUAUCCGAGUUCGCCGGAAAAACGGAGCUCGAAACCGCGUCGAAUUCACGCGAUAUACAACGAUAUUCAAAGGGGUUUCUUAGGGAUAAGGUAGAGGAGAUCGAGGGGAAUCCGUUUUUGCAACCAAUUUUGGAAACGGAGCACAGGAUGCGACGGAUUUUGCGAAGGAAGCGGCGGCGCACGCACACGGCUCGGCUCUGUACGGCUCGGCUGGAGGAGGAAGAAGGUACUGUAGCGAGGGUAGAUAAAGUAGACUUUUCCUGGGCUUCCUUUUCCUUACUUGCUUGGCCCGAUUGCUAGAGGGAAGAAAACUGGACUUCGGCUAAGAGAGAGGGAGAGGAGUGGGCUGAAUUCGGCCCAAACAAAGAAGAGGAAUUUUAAUUAACUUUUUAAUUUAAAUAAUUUCUGAAAUGAUCUUUCAUUUAUUAAAAAUACUUCCAAUGCUCAAAUAAUUCUGGUAAAAAUACAGAAAAUACUUGGGAAUACAAAGUAUUUAAUAAAAUUUUAUCUAGCUCAAGUUUAUGUUCAAAUUUUUCAUAGAUUUUAUUCACACACUUGCUUUAAUUAUUAAAUAAAUUCUAAAAAUUCCUUUUUCACAACAAUUUAUAAUUUAGCGAUUUUCAGGGUGUGACAAAGUUUCAUAACUUUCAUUGUCUUCUUGUUGACUAACUAUCACAGCUAAAAUUUAAAUUUUCGAGUUAGUUAAGUUUUUAGUUGUUAUGAAGUUUUUUCAUCAUAGUUUAUCUUCUUCCACCCUUAGUUUUAAAUCACUAGUAACACAUAUAAAAGUUGGGAUUUGCUAUAUAUGUGUCUACAUUUUUUUUGGUUUUAUCUAUAAAUUAUUUUUGGUUUGUUUCUUUUAGGGCUUAUUAGCCUACAACUGAAUCUUGUCGAUUAUGAAAGUAUGGUGAAAUAUGGCGCAAAUGGCCAUGCAUUUUAUGAGAUUAUUUUUUUAUGAGAGAUCGGUAGAAUAUAUUCCCUUCGUUUUUUUAAUAGAUGACGUUGUUGACUUUUAAAUGAGUGUUUGACCAUUCGUCUUAUCCAAAAUUUUUAUGCAAAUGUAUAAGAUAUAAAUCAAUGCUUAAAGUCAAGCAUAAUGAGGUGGAGAAUUCGUAUCAUUGGGCUUGUGGGCAUGUGACUCUUUGUUUUUUUUGAUUGUAUGCUAAACUUGGAUGUCUUUACUUCUGUUUUUUCACUGAAUAGUUUCUCUAUAUGUCUUGCUGCUACAGGCGCCCAACAUCACUUCAUGACUGUGGUAGGGAUAGUGAUGAUGACGACUUCCGAGACAUGGAUUAUGAUGUGGUAGCUCUUACUAAUAACUUGAGCCAGGCAUUGCGAUAUGGGAUAUAUAGCAAUGAUGAUAUGGAAGAGGUGUGUGUGUGAAUGAUUUUGUUUCUAUCGCUUUGAUGGUUUGCGUCGGUCAACAUGUUUCUCUGCCAGCACAUUUUGUUAGGUUUAAUUUGAGAGGAUUCUAUGGUGGAUAAAAUAUCAUCCUGUUACUCGUGCUAUUGCAUUAUCUACUUGAGUGACUCAGCAGCUCUACCAUAUUCCAGAUUUGCAGUUCCUUACAGCCUUACUAUACUAGAUACUAAUGAUGCUUGUUUCUUGAAUGCAGAAUCAAGGGACACUUGAACAUGAUGAUGAGGUAUAUUUAAGGAUUCUAGUUUACCCCCAUUUAUUGCUUUUUUGUUCUUUUCACCUGGUUUUAUGUUCAAUUUGAUUAAAUUUUCAGUACAACUCCUUAACGUUUGCUUCAAUCAGCCAUGUAAAAAGAACGGAAUGUUGCAUGCGGAAAAUAGUGUCUAUAACCAUAUUUGUUGAAGCUGUACUUCUGACAGAGUGGAUUUCCAUUGUUUUCUCCUUUCAGGAUGUCUAUUUUGAUGAUGAAUCAGCAGAGGUCGUAAUAUGUUCUCUGCGACUGGGAGAUGACCAAGAUGGGUAAUUUGUGAUCUUAUAAUAUACUUUGGUAUGCUUGUUUUUUUUUUUGCCCUUGGGCUAAUUAUGCAUGUAUGUAUUUAAUAGCAGAUAGGCUAACCUUUGGAAUCCUAUUUUCAGAAAGAAAUACAUAUACCAAUAUGAAUUCAUUCUAGGAUUAACUAGAUACACACAAUUCGUGAGAGCACUUUUCUAAUGUAUAUAUGCUAACCUUUACCAUAGGCUUAAGACAUAGUUAUACUAAUCUUGGUUUAUUUAAUAAUUGAAAAUUACAUAUGUACUCGUAGUAUGUGCUAUGAAUUACUCAUAUAAAUUUAAAUUCAGUACUUAAUUUUAAAAUUGUUUUAUCUAUUUUUAAUACUUAUAGGCACUUUUUAAUAACGGAUAAAGUUAAAUACUACUCAGGAUUUCAGCGCAUGCCUAUAUUUUAAACCUAUUAAGAGGUCAGCGUAAUGUAUAGUGACGCUGAGUUCCUUUUACAUGGCUAAUUUGUGCCAAGUCGGGUAGUGCUGAGACGUUUUAGUUCAGCGUCAUCAGGGUUAGCGCUGAGGUCACGGUCUAUUUUUUUAAAUUAGUUUGACAUGGUUUAUUUUUAAAAUUUUUAUAGAAGGAUUAAUUUGUCAAAAUUACAGUGUAAACAGAAGUAUCCAAAUCAAUACGUAUAGUGAUAGACCAAUCUUUUCCUCUUUUCUUUCUUCCCACGUGGGCCUACUUAGUCCAUUCAAUCGUGCAUGGAACCUUGCCCAUGAUGCUGCAUGAGCCAUGCACAACUGUGUAUAGGCGGGUUGCAUAGCAUCGUACACGCGUCAGAAAAGCAUUAUGCCACCUAGACCAACAGGCAGCUGGCAAAACAACCAUCAUGAGAAUAAUAGAUAGAUUAUUAUUUUGUUUGCUCUCCGUCCAGCAGUAUGCUACCUGCGUAUUAGAGGGAUUAUUAAUUGAGUACCUAUAUUUAUGUCGCCAUAUUUUUCAUGAAAAAAUAGUCAACAUGUAUUUACAUUGUAAGUCUUUAAAUUACAUAUGUAAUUUUAGUGUAUUUACAAUGUAAGUCCCAAAAUUACAUAUCAAGUCUCUAAAUUACAUAUGUAAUUUUCUAAUUUUACAAUGUAAUUUAACUUUGCAACCGGUUGUAGACAUAAUGGAGGACCGUGUACACAAUAUAGGAGAAGAAAAAGCAAAUUUAUUAUCAAUUGUACGAGUCCACGAAAUGCAAAUGCAAAUGAGCACAUAAGAGUUGGAGCUUGAUAAGGUGUCCCAAGUUAGUUACGCUUUCGGAUAGCUUUGAUCUGACACAAAAAAAUAUCUGACUGUAGUCAGGCCCCAAAUAUGUCGCCACACGUGAAGCAAAACCUUAUUAAUUUUGUUGACAUAAAUGAACGAACAACUAAUAAGCAUACUGUAAUAGUGUCAAUCGGUUAAUUAAUUAGCUUGCUAGCUUCAGGGGUGCAAAUAUUAUUUGUUUUUUCACGGUUUCCACAAAUUCCCGAUGUUGUUCUUGUUCCUUUUUCUUUGGCUAAAAUUUAAGUUCCAAAAAAAGCUGUGUCUAUGCUAAUUUUGAUCAGAAGUCAAAAAAGGUCAUCUUUUUUACCAAGGGACUACUAGAUGGAUAUCCCAAUAACUUCCAAAGGCUCUACGAUUUGAGAUAAUUCAAUAUGCAACUUCUUCCCAAGGGCUGCUCUACUAUUUGGAAAUAAUUUAACAUGAACUUCGCAAGGGCGCUACGGUUUUAAGAUAAUUCAUUAAAUUGAUAACUGCAUUAUGUAGUUUGAUAUGCGUACAUGUAAUCCUCAAGAUAUCUCUACGUAUAACUAAUCUCGCAUAUCCUGCCCAUUCAAAAUUAGAUCUCAUUUUAACUCUCAAUUAAUAAUCGAUUAAGCUAAAAAUACCUUGACAAAUUUUUCUGUUAAGAUUUGUUGAAUUUUCAGCCGUUAAUCUAACCUUUAGAUCCGUGACCUCUUUGUGUCAGCGCUCCCACAAAACGCUUAACCUGCGAGUGCUGGACCUGGACUACCUGGUACUGUACAUCCAUGCAUACGACUGAUUAUCUUUGUCACUCACUAAUUAAAUAGUUUAAAGUUGUUGUUAAACGUCUGGUGUACUGUUUCCUGUCAACUUCACUUUGCCCAAAAGCGUACAGGGGAUGAAAGCCUGGUAAUGAUGAGAGAGAGAGAGAGGAGGUAAGUUGAGGAAAAAAUACAGUGUAAAUAUAGUACUUUUAGGGUGUAAUUUGUUGUAAUUACAUUGUGACUCGUUGUAAAUUACAAUGUAAUUUCUUUUAGAUUUGUAUGUAAUUUAUUUUUUUCCCUAUUUUUCACUAUUACACUUUAAUAAUAAAUUAUGUGUUAUGAUACAUAUGAUAAGUUAUACAUGCUAUUUCCAUAUGUGUAUUAGGUAAUUAUUAAAAAUCUGAGGUGUUUGGUUUAAAAGUCUGUCGGGUGAUCUAUAAAUUCAUUAUUACUAAUAACAGGUACACACACAAACACAAAUAUUAUAGCGGUGGAUAAGAGCUCUAUCGAUGAGGCUCUCCUCCAUGGCAAACAUGAGCAAGAAGAUCUAUGGGAUGAUGAGGUGGUUUAUGACGUGGAGCAGCAGUAGAUCCUCGGCUCGUUCUGCAUGACUGGCGCUUCCUUCAGGAGAAGCUGCCUCAACCUCAGCAACGUGAUCUGCAGCAUCGGGAUGCUCUACGUGUCGUACGUGCUAUCGCAGGGCAGGUGGCCCAGCCUAGUGCUCUUCACCAUGGUCGGCGCCAUCUGUUUCCACACCGGCAACCUCAACGACCGCUGCAUGUGCUGAUCGCGGCGUACGGAGAUACUCCUUCGGCGGCUAUGGCCGGACGGCCAUCGGCCUCGUCAUGUACGUUGAGCUCUACCUCGUUGCCAUCAGCUUUCUCAUCCUCGAGGCCGACAACCUCAACAAGCUCCUUCCGGCACGGUGGUGGAGAUCCUAGUGUACUAGGUGCACGGGAAGCAAUUGUUCGUACUCGCGACGGCCACUAUCAUCCUCCCGACGACGUGGCUCAAGAACCUCAGCAUGCUCGCCUAUGUCUAGCGGCUGGGCUCGUCUCGUCGGUGGCGCUGACAGUGUCGCUGCUCUGGGCCGGCGUGGUCGACAAGGGCUUCCACGUGGCUCUUGAGUCUGAGCGGGUUGCCCACUGCCCUCAGCCUCUACUUCCUCUGCUUCGCAGGCCAUGGUUUCUUCCCAACCGUCUAAUUCUCGAUGAAGUCCAAGAAAGAUUUUCCUAAGGUAUACUUUUUAAAAUGUAUUUAUGUGUUGUACUUGAUAAUAAGUUUGCUAAAAUUUAUGAUAACAAUUAGCAAUCUAAAUUUAGAAUUAUGGUUAAUGAAAAUUUAAAAGUCAAUGGUGGAAUAAAAUUAGCAAUAGGUUUAAGAACAUGAACAUUUUGUUUUUUUAUUACAUGCAUGCAUGGAAGACAUGCACACUCAUAAUUGUUUUUGAGAACUCGUACAUCACUAAUCAUGCACACCUCUUAAUCAUCAUCGUUGCUACAUUAUCAUCAUACUCACCAUUGCAUGGCCCUCAUAUAUUUUGUUGGCCCUCAUAUAAGUUUAUUUUGAUCAUCCAAUUAAAAGUAAGAAUUAGGAUAUGACGAAAUCAACAUUAAAAUCAUUUAUUAAAAUAAGUUGUACUAUCCCAAAUUAAAAGAUGUUGUACUACUUAUAAAUUUUGUAAUGUUAAUUUAUAGUGAUAAGGAAUGGCGAAUGCAAUACGGAAUUAAUGGCAAGUGCAAUAUUAACAAUUUAGCAUAUAUAUAUAUAUAUAUAUAUAUAUAUAUAUAUAUAUAUAUAUAUAUAUAUAUAUAUAUAUAUAUAUAUAUAUAUAUAUUGCAUAAUGCCAUAAAUUUAGGGUAAUGUUGGGUUGGCCUUUCGACCAGUUUAGCAUGUGCAGUGAUGUGGAGGCAUACUGUGCUACAUUACAGCAUAUCACCCCAGCGGAAUAAAUUGGUGACUAGCGUGGAGGUGUAUUGUUCUAUAUUACAGCCUAUCACCCCAGCAGAAUAAACUGGUGACUUGGAGGCGAUUAGAGUCGUCUCUCAACUAUAUUUGGUUACCUCUCAUCCACCCAUGUAAAGGCAAUGUAGCUUAAAGAUAAAGCUAAUCAUGAGCCGCCUAAUAUGGUUUCAUUUAUAUGUUAAAACCUGAAGUUAGAAGAUGCGUCUAGCACUUAAAAUAAAAGAAUUAUAUUAACCAUUUGAAUUAGAGUUUACGAAAUUUUUUUAAAGUAAUUUUAUGCGUAGUCCAAUACAAUUUUAGAUAAAUCAAAAGGUAGCGUAUCUAAAUUUGGAAGAUGUGUUGGAUCAUAAACUUUUAUAUGCCAAGUUAAAAUAGAGAUCUAUUAUGUUGUAUAUCUUCUUGUACUAAGUUUAGACUCAACCAACGUGUAUAAGAAUUGUUAGGGAUAAGAUGCAAAAGUGGUAGGACAUUGACUAUUGCUCAAUUAACUCAUGGAAGUUUCUUGAACAAUCUUGGACCAUUCUCCAUUCUUUUACUGAUACUUAUCCAUGAUCUAACGGCAUAUAUUAUAUCUACUGUUGCAUUCAAUUGUCCAUAUAUUUAGAGAUUUGACAACCAAUGAUAAUUGAUCAUUGGAUUAUCAGUUCGAAUUAUCAUAAUUUGGUUUAUGAAACCAUGGCGAUAAUGAGAAUGGAUCAGUACUCCAAUAAUGUUCUAUUCCUCUCCAAUUAAUGUGCAGGUUUUGGUGAUCUCUUCAGUGCUGUGCAGUCUCAACUACGCAGUGACAACAAUGUUGGGUUAUCUGAUCUAUGGUGAAGUUGUGCAGGCGCCGGUGACACUGAACUUACCCACGGGGAAGCUGUACACCAGGAUCGCCAUCCUGACGACGCUGAUCACCCCGCUAGCGAAGUACGUGCUCGUGAUCUAGCCCAUCACAACAGUGAAUGAGGAGAAAUUGUCGACGACAACGGUGGCGGCAGCGGACGUCGAGCACAACGGGCUUACCAGGGUGCUCACCAGCACAGCCGUCGUUGUCAGCACGGUGGUGCUGGCGUGCACGGUACCCUUCUUCAGCUACCUCAUGCCGUUCAACGUAUCUUCGCUGAACUUCACCAUUGUCGUGUUGUUCCCAUGCCUGAGCUACCUCAAGAUCUACAUGCCUCGAUUUGGAGUUGGCCGCUUCGAGGUGGCGGCGAUCGUCGGAAUACUAGUCAUCGGAGUAUGCAUCGCCUUCGUUGGCACCUACACCUCCCUUCACCAGAUUAUAUGCACAGUUUGAUUGUGCAUUUGUGGGUAAGGUUGUAGGUUUUGGUAGUGAUUAAAUAUGUUUCAAAUUCUUUUUUUACUUUUUUUUCCUGAAAAAACAACAGAUAUGUUAUACAGAGUGUUAAGAAUCAACUGAGUGGCUAUAUAUUGCAUGAGUACUCCUGGAAUGCAUUUGUGUAUUAUCACUAAGGAAGUUUCAUAACUUUCAUUGUCUUCUUGUUGACUAACUAUCGCAGCUAAAAAUUAAAUUUUGAGAUUAGUAAAGUUUUCAGUUAUUCUCAAAUUUUUCCAUCAUUGUUUAUCUUUUUCUACCCUUAGUUUUAAAUCACUAGUAAUACAUGUAAAAGUUGGGAUUUGCUAUAUAUCUGUCUACAAUUUUUUUUGGUUUUAUCUAUAAAUUAUUUUUGGUUUGUUUUGUUCAAGGCUUAUUAGCCUAGAACUAAAUCUUAUCGGUUCUGAAAGUAUGGUGAAAUAUGACGCAAAUGUCCAUGCAUUUUAUGAGAUUAUUUUUUUACGAGAGAUCGGUAGAAUAUAUUCCCUUCAUUUUUUAAUAGAUGACGUCGUUGACUUUUAAAUAAGUGUUUGACCAUUCGUUUUAUCCAGAACAUUUAUGCAAAUGUAUAAGAUAUAAAUCAUGCUCCUCUUAUUUGGAUGGGAUUAUUAUUUUGUUUGCGCUGUCAGUAGCAGUAUGCUACCCACACAUUAGAAGAAUUAUUAAUCGGUUUUGCUAUAAUUGUGGUGACACAUUUUUUAUGAAAUCACAGCCAAAUUUUAGAUAGUUAGAUUUAUGUAAGUUUUGUGCAUGCGUACGAGGGCUACUGACUUGGUAUAGUGUCGUUAAACAACGCAGUCACUAGAAGAAGCAGUUAUUGUCAAACAAAACAACGAUAAUCUACCUAGGUAAUUAAUUAAGGUUUGAACUAAUAUUUUUUUAUCUCAAUUUGCCCACACACUUUUGCAUGAAGAGAAGCAAAUCCAAACAUGAGUCAUUAAAUAUGUGCUUUGCUUUCUCCUUACCCGAGCUAAUGUUGCUCAUCUUCCAGCACAUUACCUAGUAGUAGCAAACAUUAGCCAAGGCUACAUAUUGAUGAACAUAAGAAAAUAGAGAACAAAAGAGAAUGAAAAGUUGAGAAGUUACGAUGUGCAUAUAAUGUUCAACACUAUAACUAUAUAGUUAUAUUGUACUUAUACUAUACACACUUUACAGUACACUUAUAUGAUAAUUACACUAUAUUUAAACUACACUUACAUUGUACUUACACUACACUUGCACACUUAAAUAGUACUUAAGCUGGACUUACAUGAUAAUUAUAUUUAUAUUGUGCUUGCAUUUUAAUUAUUAUGUAAUUCCUAAUUUAUUAAACUGUAAUUUUGUGAUCACUAGUUUUCUAGAUGAAAUUUAAUUUAUGUUGUGUAUUUUAAUCGACUUACUUAUUUUUAAAUGGCUGUAAUCUAGUCUAAAAUUGAACCAACUAUUAUAGGCUCAAUUUUGUGGCGCCUGAGCUAUAGAUAGUCCUCAAUGAGCGAUGUAAAUAAUAUAUUUACAAAUAGCUAAUAAGCAAACUGUAACCGUGUAAAUCGGUUAAUUAAUUAGCUUGAUAGCUUCAGGGGUGCCAAUAUUAGUUGUUCUCUCAUGGAUUCUACAAAUUCCUGAUGAUGAUCUUGUGCCUUUUUCUUUGGCUAAAAUUAAAAGUUUCAGAAAAAGCUGUGUCAUGCUAUUUUUUAUCAGUAGUCAAAAAAUUUCAUCUUUUUUGCCAAGGGACCAGAUUACUAGAUGGAUAUCCCAAUAACUUCUAAACGCUCUAUGGUUUGAGAUAAUUUAAUAUGCAACUUCUUCCUAAGGGUUGCUCUACUAUUUGGAAAUAAUUCAACAUGAACAUCCCAAGGCCGCUAUGGUUUUUAGAUAAUACAUUGAAUUGAUAAUUGCAUUUUGUAAUUUGAUUUGCGUAUGCGUAAUCCUCAAGGUAUCUCCACGUAUAACUAAUCUAUCAUCCCCAUUCACAAUUAGAUCUCAUCUCAACUCUCAAUAAUAAUCGACUAUGCUAAAAAUCCGUCGACAAAUUCUUUUGUUAAGAUUUGUCGAAUUUUCAGCCGUUAAUCUAACCUUGAGAUCCGUGCCCUCUUUGUGUCAGUGCUCCCAUGAAACAUAACUCGCGAGUGUUCGACUACCUGGUGGUACUGUACAUCCAUGCAUACGACUGAUUAUCUUUGUCGCUCACUAAUUAAAUAGUUCAAAGUUGUUGUUAAUUGCCUAGUGUAUUGUCAAAUUCACUUUACCCAAAAGCGUACAGGGGAUGAAAGCUUGGUAAUGACAAGAGAGAGAGAGAGAGAGUGAGAGAGGAGGUAAGUUGUGGAAAAAAUUACAGAGUAAAUAUAGUGCUUUUAGAGUGUAAGUUGUUGUAAUUACAUUGUGACUCGUUGCAAAUUACAAUGUGAUUUCUAUUAGAUUUGUAUGUAAUUUAAAGAUAACAUUAUAAUUAAAAUAAAGUGUAACUUACACUUAGUGAAAAAUAGAAAAAAAUAAAUUACAUACAAAUUUAACAAAAAUUACAAUGUAAUUUACAACGAGUCACAAUGUAAGUACAACAAAUUAUACUCUAAAAGCACUAUAUUUACUCUGUAAUUUUUUCCACAACUUACCUCCUCUCUCUCUCUCUCAUCAUUACCAGGCUUUCAUCCCCUGUACGCUUUUGGGCAAAGUGAAGUUGACGAAACAGUACACUAGAUGUUUAACAACAACUUUUAACUAUUUAAUUAGUGAGCGAGAAAGAUAAUCAGCUGUAUGCAUGGAUGUACAAUACCAGGUAGUCCAACACUUGCGAGUUAAGCGUUUCGUGGGAGUGCUGACACCAAGAGGUCACGGAUCUCAAGGUUAGAGUAACGGCUGAAAAUUUGACAAAUCUUAACGGAAAAAUUUGUCGAGAUAUUUUUAGCUUAAUCGAUUAUUAAUUGAGAGUUGAGAUGAGAUCUAAUUUUGAAUGGGCAGGAUAUGUGAGAUUUGUACGUAGAGAUAUCUUGAGGAUUACGUGUACGCAAAUCAAACUAUAGAAUGCAGUUAUCAAUUUAAUGAAUUAUCUAAAAACCAUAGUGCCAUUGGGAAGUUCGUGUUGAAUUAUUUUCAAAUAGUAGAGCGGCCCUUGGGAAGAAGUUGCAUAUUGAAUUAUCUCAAACCGUAGAGCCUUUGGAAGUUACUGGGAUAUCCAUCUAGUAAUCUGGUCCGUUGGUAAAAAUGAUGGCAUUUUUUGACUUCUGAUCAAAAUUAGCAUAGACAGCUUUUUCUGGAACUUUUAAUUUUAGCCAAAGAAAAAGGAACAAGAACAACAUCGGAAAUUUGUGGAAACCGUGAGAAAACAACUAAUAUUUGCACCACUGAAGCUAGCAUGCUAAUUAAUUAACCGAUUGACACUAUUACAGUAUGCUUAUUAGCUGUUCAUUCAUAUGUGUCAACAAAAUUAAUACAGUUUUGCUACAUGUGUGGCAACAUAUUUGGGGGCUGAUUACAAUUAGAUUUUUUUUGUCAGAUCAAAGCUAUCCGAAAGCGUAACUAACUGGGACACCUGAUCAAGCUUCAACUCUUAUGUGCUCAUUUGCACUUCGUGGACUCGUACAAUUGAUAAUAAAUUCGCUUUUUCUUCUCUUAUAUUGUGUCCACGGUUCACCAUUAUGUCCACAAUCGGUUGCAAAGUUAAAUUACAUUUAAAAAAACAAAAAUUACAUAUGUAAUUUUGGGACUUACAUUGUAAAUACACUAAAAUUACAUAUUUAAUUUACAGACUUACAAUGUAAAUACAUGUUGACUAUUUUUUCAUAAAAAAUAUGGUAGCAUAAAUAUAGGUGCUCUGAAUUAGUAAUCCCUCUAACAUAUGGGUAGCAUACUGCUGGACUGAGGGAGCAAACAAAAUAAUAAUCUAUCUAUUAUUCUCAUGCUGGUUGUUCUGCCAACUGCCUAUUGGUCCAGGUGGCACAAUGCUUUUUUGAUGCGUGUAUGACGCUGCCUAUACACCCCGCCUAUACACGGUUGCGCAUGCCUCAUGCAAUAUCAUGGGCCAGGUGCCAUGCAUGCACGAUUGAAUGGACUAGGUAGGAAGAAAGAAAAGAGGAAAAUAUUGGUCUAUCAUUGUACGCAUUGAUUUGGCUACUUCUGUUUACGCCGUAGUUUUGACACAUUAAUCCUUCUAUAAAAACUUUAAAAAUAAACCAUGUCAAAAACUACUUAAAAAAAUAGACCGUGACCUCAGCGCCAACCCUGAUGACACUAAACUAAAACAUCUCAACACCACUCGACGUGGCACAAAUUAGCUAUGUAAAAGGAACUGAACGUCACUAUACAUUACACUGACCUCUUAAUAGGUUUUAAAUAUAUGGCAUGCGCUGAAAUCCUGAGUAGUAUUUAACUUUAUCUGUUUUAUCAAAAAAGUACCUAUAAGUAAUAAAAAUAGACAAAACAAUUUUAAAAUUAAGUAGUGAAUUUAAAUUUAUACGAGUAAUUCUUAGCACAUACUACGAGUAUAUAUGUAAUUUUCAAUUAUUAAUAAAUAAAUAAACCAAUAUUAGUAUUACUAUGUCUUAAGCAUAUGAUAAAGGUUAGCAUAUAUACUUUAGAAAAGUGCUCUCACGAAUUGUGUGCAUCUAGUUAAACCUAGAAUGAAUUCAUAUUGGUAUAUGUAUUUCUUGCUGAAAAUAGGAUACCAAAGGUUAGCACAUAUCUGCUUUUAAAUACAUAAACGCAUAAUUAGCCCAAGGGCAAAAAAAAAAAGAGGAUACCAAAGUAAGUUUUAAGGUCAUCUCCCAGUCGCAGAGAACAUAUUACGACCUCUGCUGAUUCAUCAUCAAAAUAGACAUCCUAAAAGGAGAAAACAAUGGAAAUCCACUCAGUGAGAAGUACAAUUUCAACAAAUAUGGUUCUAGACACUAUUAUCCGCAUGCAACAUUCCAUUCUUUUUACAUGGUUGAUUGAAACAAACGUUUAGGAACUGUACUAAAAAUUUUAAUUAAAUUGAACUAAAAAACAGGUGAAAAGAACAAAAAAAAAGCAUUAAAUAGGGGUAAACUAGCAUCCUUAAAUAUACCUCAUCAUCCCGUUCAAGUGUCCCUUGAUUCUGCACUCAAGAAACAAUCAUGUAUCAUUAGUAUCUAGCACACUAAGGCUGUAAGGAACUACAAAUCCGGAACAUGGUUAGACCUGGUGAGUCGUUCAAGUAGAUAAUGUAAUAGCAUGGGUAACAGGAUGAUAUUUUAUCCACCAUAGAAUCCUCUCAAAUUAAACCUAACAAAAUGUGCUGGCAGAGAAACAUGUUGACUGAUGCAAACCAUCAAAGCAAUAGAAACAAAAUCAUUCACACAUACACCUCUUCCAUAUCAUCAUUGUUAUAUAUCACAUAUCGGAAUGCCUGGCUCAAGUUAUUAGCAAGAGCUGCCACAUCAUAAUCCCUGUCUCGGAAAUCAUCAUCAUCACUAUCCCUACCAUGGUCAUGAAGUGAUGUUGGGUGCCUGCAGCAACAAGACAUAUAGAGAAACUAUUCAGUGAAAAAACAGAAGCAAAGACAUCCAAGGUUAGCAUGCCAUCAAAAAAAAAAAACAAAGAGUCACAUACCCACAAGUCCAAUGAUAAGAACUCUCCACCUCAUUACGCUUGACUUUAAGAAUAUCAUUUAUAUAUUAUAUAUUUGCAUAAAAGUUUUGGAUGAAGUGAAUGGUGAAACACUCAUUUAAAAGUCAAUGGCGUCAUCUAUUAAAAAACUGAGGGAAUAUAUUCUACCGAUCUCUCAUAAAAAAAUAAUCUCAUAAAAUGCAUGGCCAUUUGCACCAUAUUUCACCAUACUUUCAGAAUCGACAAGAUUCAGUUCUAGGCUAAUAAGCCCUGAACAAAACAAACCAUAGAUAAAACCAAAAAAAAAAAAUUGUAGACACACAUAUAGCAAAUCCCAACUUUUAUGCGUGUUACUAGUGAUUUAAAACUAAGGGUAGAAGAAGAUAAAUUAUGAUGGAAAAACUUCAGAAUAUAUUAAAACUGAACUAAUUUCAAAACUUAAAUUUUAGCUGCGAUAAUUAGUCAACAAGAAGGCAAUGAAAGUUAUGAAACUUAGUGAUAAUACACAUGCAUUCCAGGAGAGUACACAUGCAAUAUAUAGCUGCUCAGUUGAUUCUUAACACUCUGUGUAGCAUAUAUGUUGUUUUUUCAGGAAAAAUAGAAUUUGAAACCUAUUUAAUUACUACCAAAACCUACCACCAUACCCACAAAUGCCCGAUCAAAAUGUGCCGAUAAUCUGGUGAAGGGAAGUGUAGGUGCCAACGAUGGUGACGCACACUCCAAUGACCAGUAUCCCAACAAUCGCCGCCACCUCGAAGCGGACAACUCUUCCUCGGGGCAUGUAGAUCUUGAGGUAGCUCAGGCACGGGAACAACAUGGCAACGACGACGUUCAGUGAGAACCCGAUGAACAACAUGAGGUAGCCGAAGAAGGGCAAAGUGCACGCCAGCACCGUCAUGUUGACAACGACGGCUGCUGGUGAGCACCCUGGUUAGCCCGUUGUUCCUAUUGUCAGCCACCGCCGCCAUCAUUGCCGACAGCUUGUCCUCUAUCGCCAUUGUGAUGGGCUGGAUCACGAGCGCGUACUUCGCCAGCGGGGUGAUCAGUGUCGUCAAGAUGGCGAUCUUGGUGUACAGCUUCCCCGUGGGUAAGUUCAGUGUCACCUUCACCUGCACAUCCUCACCAUAGCUCAGAUAUCCCAACACUGUUGUCACUGUAGAGUUGAGACUGCACAUCACCGAAGAGAUUAGCAAAACCUGCACAUUAAUUGGAGAGGAAUAGAACAUUAUUGGAGAGGAAUAGAACAUUAUUGGAGUACUGUUCCAUUAUCAUCAUCGUCAUGGUUUCAUAAACCAAAUUAUGAUAACUGGAACUGAUAAUCCAAUGAUCAAUUAUCAAUUGGUUGCCAAAUCUCUCUAAGUGAAAGGUAAAACUUAAAAUGCAACAUCAUUGAGCUACAUCAUCUGAAGAUAUGUACCAUUGAAUGCAACGGUUGAUAUAAUAUCCACUGUUAGAUCCUGGAUAAGUAUCAGCAAAAGAAUGGUAAAAGGUCCAAGAUUGUUCAAGAAACUUCCAUGAGUUAAUUGUGCAAUAGUCAAUGCCCUACCACUUUUGCAUCUUAUACCUAACAAUUCUCAUAGCUGUUGGCUGAGUCAAAACUUAGUACAAGAAUAUAUACAACACAACACAAUAGAUCUAUCUUUUAACUCGGCAUUAAAAAUUUUAUGAUGCAACAGAUCUUCCAAAUUUAGAUACGCUACCUUUUAAUUUAUCUAAAAUUGUAUUGGACUACGCAUUAAAUUACUUAAAAUUUUUUUCAUAAACUAUGUAUUCAAAUGGCUAAUAUAAUUAUUUCAUUUUAAGUGCUAGACGCAUCUUCCAACUUUAGGUUUUAGCAUAUAAAUUAAACCGUAUUAGGCGGCUCUUGAUUAGCUUUAUCUUUAAGCUACAUUGCUUUUACCUGGGUGGAUGAGAGGUAACCAAAUCCCAACUUGAGAGGCAGCCCUAAUCGCUACCAUUCACCAGUUUAUUCCGCUGGGGUAAUAGGCUUUAAUAUAGCAUAGUACGCCUCCACGCUAGUUACCAGUUUAUUCCACUGGUGUGAUAGGUUGUAUUGUAGCACAGUACGCCUCCACAUCACCGCACACGUCAAACUAGUCGAAAGGCUAACGCGACAUUACCCUAAAUUUACAUCAUUAUGCAAAAAAAUAUAUUAAUGCUAAAUUGUGAAUAUUGCACUUGCCAUUCCAUAUAUCUGAAAUUAACAUUACAAAAUUUAUAAGUAGUACAACAUCAUUUUUUAGCGAUAGUACAACUUAUUUUAAUAAAUGAUUUUAAUGUUGAUUUCGUAUGAUCCUAAUUCUUAUUAGACGACCAAAAUAAACUUAUUAGCUCGAAUUUUAUCUACAUGAUGUAUAUGUAGACCUGCUAUAUGAUGGGAGCGCCAACAAAGUAUAUGAGAGCCAUGCAAUGCUGAGUAUGAUGAGAACAUAGCAGCGAUGAUGAUUAAGAGGUGUGCAUGAUUAGUGAUGUACGAGUUCUAAAAAUAAUUAUGAGUGUGCGCGUCUUCCAUGCAUACAUGUAAUAAAAAAGUAAUUUGUUUGUAUUCUUACUAAACCUGGUGCUAAUUUAAUACCACCAUUGACUUUUAAAUUUUCAUUAACCAUAAUUCUAAAUUUACAUUGUUAAUUGUUAUCACAAAUUGUAGCAAACUUACUAUCAAGUACAACACAUAAAUACAUUUUAAAAGUGUAUAGGAAUUAUGAGUGUGCGCGUCUUCCAUGCAUACAUGUAACAAAGAAACAAUUUGUUUGUAUUCUUGCUAAACCUGUUGCUAAUUUAAUACCACCAUUGACUUUUAAAUUUUCAUUAACCAUAAUUCUAAAUUUACAUUCUUAAUUGUUAUCACAAAUUUUAGCAAACUUACUAUCAAGUACAACACAUAAAUACAUUUUAAAAGUGUAUAGGAAAAUCCUUCUUAGACUUCAUUGAGCAGUAAACGGUCGGGAAGACGCCAUAGCCGGCGAAGCAGACGAAGUAGAGGCUGAGGGCAGUGGGCAACCCGCUCAGCGCAACCGACAAGGCCAGCCCGACCGCCGAGAUAGGCAAGCACGCUGAGGUUCUUGAGCCACGUCGUCGGGAGGAUGACAGUGGCCGCCGCGAGCACGAAUAGCUGCUUCCCAUGCACCUGGUACCCUAGGAUCUCCACCACCGUGCCGGGGAGGAGCUUGUCGAGGUUGUCGCCCAAGAGGAUGACGAAGCUGAUGGCGACAAGCUAGAGCUCGACGUACAUGAUGAGGCCGAUGGCCGUCAGGCCAUAGCCGCUGAAGGUGAGGUGGCCGAUGUCCAGUAGCUCAGCGAUCGACGCGCAUGCAGCGGUCCAUGAGGUUGAUGGUGUAGAAGCAUAUAGCUUGGUGAAGAGCGCCAGGCUAAGCCACCUGCCCUGCGAGGGUAGAUCAGCGAUCGACGCGCAUGCAGCGGUCCAUGAGGUUGCCGGUGUAGAAGCAGAUGGCUUGGUGAAGCCACCUGCCCUGCGAUACCAGCAUGGAGAGCCACAUGCCCUGAGAUAGCGCGUACAGCACGGAGAGCAUCCUUACGCUUGAGGGAGCAUGUUCCUUACGCUGGAGGGAGCACGUGCGCUGUACGCGAUCGUCCCUAGAUCUUCUUGCUCAUGUUUACCAUAGAAGGGAGCCUCGUCGAUAGGGCUCUUAUCCGCCGCCAUAAUCUCAUGUUCCAGACGGUUGACGUUUGACCGCACGGAAAAAAUUGUUUCUCUACUAGUGUACUAACGGCUUCUAUAAUUAGUUUUUUUCUACUAGUGUACGAACGGCUUCUAUAAUUAGUUUUUUUAUUAGUGCCCAAACAACUCAUGCAAUACCCUAUAUAAUAUCCGAUGUGACGUGCCAAAGCUUUAUACCCAUGGAUCUAAACACCCCCUAUGAACUGUAAAUAUGGGAUGGAUGUGCUAUUUAUUUAUAGCCUAGCUAUUAUUUGUAAUUUUUUCCGACAUGACGUGGGUCAGUUCGAAUGGAACACGUCCUUUUUGAUAAA
This 26038-nucleotide long non-coding RNA is filed under the name Oryza sativa (Asian cultivated rice). RNAcentral's name for it is "long non-coding RNA (OSAT_LNC000869)". Lineage: Eukaryota; Viridiplantae; Streptophyta; Magnoliopsida; Poales; Poaceae. The record is from RNAcentral.